Molecule: long non-coding RNA, 247 nt
Organism: Quercus lobata
Lineage: Eukaryota; Viridiplantae; Streptophyta; Magnoliopsida; Fagales; Fagaceae
Exons: 3
Source: RefSeq, a predicted model, not a curated record
AUAGUAUUGAAGAGCCUCCCAACUCUCAAAAUCUGACAACAAUCAUACAGGAAGGGGUUACUUAGUAUGUGGUUUGACCUAUAAAACUUCAAUGCUGCUAUAUCCUCCUCCUCUCAGGCUGGUGGAAAAUAACCAACCAAUAGUACAAAUGCCAAAGCAAUUCAAACCACAAGUGACAAUUCAAGAAGAGAUGAACAUCAACAGAAGAACCAUAAGUGAAAUAACAAAAGUUAUGUGGGACUCUGGU